GUUCUCCCCGAAAGCUAUUUAGGUAGCGCCUCGUGAAUUCAUCUCCGGGGGUAGAGCACUGUUUCGGCAAGGGGGUCAUCCCGACUUACCAACCCGAUGCAAACUGCGAAUACCGGAGAAUGUUAUCACGGGAGACACACGGCGGGUGCUAACGUCCGUCGUGAAGAGGGAAACAACCCAGACCGCCAGCUAAGGUCCCAAAGUCAUGGUUAAGUGGGAAACGAUGUGGGAAGGCCCAGACAGCCAGGAUGUUGGCUUAGAAGCAGCCAUCAUUUAAAGAAAGCGUAAUAGCUCACUGGUCGAGUCGGCCUGCGCGGAAGAUGUAACGGGGCUAAACCAUGCAC
Molecule: ribosomal RNA, 344 nt
Filed under: Escherichia coli
Lineage: Bacteria; Pseudomonadati; Pseudomonadota; Gammaproteobacteria; Enterobacterales; Enterobacteriaceae
Description: partial 23S ribosomal RNA
Rfam family: Bacterial large subunit ribosomal RNA
Source: RNAcentral